AUACGGAGGGUGCGAGCGUUAAUCGGAAUUACUGGGCGUAAAGCGCGCGUAGGCGGCUUGUUAAGUCGGAUGUGAAAGCCCCGGGCUCAACCUGGGAAUUGCAUUCGAUACUGGCAGGCUAGAGUAUGGUAGAGGGAAGCGGAAUUCCGGGUGUAGCGGUGAAAUGCGUAGAUAUCCGGAGGAACACCAGUGGCGAAGGCGGCUUUCUGGACCAAUACUGACGCUGAGGUGCGAAAGCGUGGGUAGCGAACGGGAUUAGAAACCCCGGUAGUCC
RNAcentral lists this ribosomal RNA (274 nucleotides) under uncultured bacterium. RNAcentral's name for it is "partial 16S ribosomal RNA". It matches the Rfam family "Bacterial small subunit ribosomal RNA", at positions 523 to 796 of the family's 1533-position model. The record is from RNAcentral.